Panicum hallii is the source of this 3413-nucleotide long non-coding RNA. RefSeq lists it as uncharacterized. The record is from RefSeq and is a predicted model, not a curated record. Lineage: Eukaryota; Viridiplantae; Streptophyta; Magnoliopsida; Poales; Poaceae. The transcript has 5 exons.
GUCGUGUGGGACAUCCUCGUCCGCCUACCGGCGAAGGCGCUCCUCCGCUGCCGCGCGGUCUGCCGCUCCUGGCGCGACCUCACCUCCGGUGACGAUUUCCUUCUCGCCCACCACCAGCACCAGCCGUCGCUCCCGCUCCUCUCCUUCGGCGGCGAGAUCGACGCCUGCCGAAGAAACGUCGACGCCGCCCUCGACGCCUUCGACUUCCGGCGACGCCCCGCCGAGCGCCGGCCUGUGCUCCGCUUCAGCGACUACAACCGCCGCGGUCCCUCUCUAAUGGUACCUUCUACAUCUGCAACCCGGCCACGCGCCAGUGGACCACACACUACGAGUGGCGGAGCUACAUUCAAACCUGCUGUGACAUCGGUAAAAAAAAUUGAUGACAUCGGCAGCCCAACACCAACAGCCAGACGUCUUGCCCUGUUGUAAUCCAACGCAGAGACGCUUCGUUUUCCAAUUUCCUAUCGGUGUCUUCUCGGUUCUCGCCCGCACGGCGACGACGCCGCACCGUGGUAACCGGCAACUCCUCCGCUCCUGCCUCCUGCAGCCUCGGCCGUAGGCUCUGAGGCUCUGAGCCUCUGAGAUCAGCUACUAGUAUUUUGACGUCAGAUACAAGUGGACAGCAAGAGCCUUGUUAGCUUCUUCAAUCUAUUCAUUUUUGUAGCAAAAGCAAAAUGCCAGGUAACCAAUGCGCGCUGGAACGAUUCUUGAAAAGAAAAGCAUCUCCAGCUGGUGAUGGAGAGGAUCGUGAUGCAGUGGUUCCUAGAACAGAUGGCAAUGCAUCAAACAUCAAUCCUACUGCACAUCGUACUUCUCGAAUCUCAGGAAUGGAGGUAAAUUGGGACGAGCUUCCUUAUGAUCCUGCAGAUAGAAGGAGAAUAUCAGAUUACAUUGGACAAAAGUUACAAGAUGAUGUAAGGCGAAAGUAUUUGACUAGAGGUCCUUGUAAACCGCCACCUGGUUUCAGAUUUCCACAAACUAUCAUAGCAGGUGUUCCACGUCGAUGUCAACAUGAAUGGUUCACUACAUAUGAUUGGCUAGAGUAUAGCGAGAAGGUGGAUAAGUGUUUUUGUUUGUAUUGCUACUUAUUCAGAGAUUCCAAUGAGGGCCAAGGUGGGAAUGAUGCAUUUGCAAUAGAUGGUUGGAAAGGAUAUAACAACACCAAUAGGCUUCGAGAUCAUGUCGGCAGCAAAUGCGAUAGCUUUCAUAACACUGCUGUAAAAAGAUGUGAUAAUUUGUUAAAGCCUGACCAGUCAAUUGGUGCUCAUUUGAACAAGCAAAGCAAUGCCACUAAAGAGAAUUAUCUCAUUCGAUUGUCUACAUCUAUCAAAGCUGUUUGAUACUUGCUACAUCAAGGUUUAGCUUCCCGUGGCCACGAUGAAUCAGAAGAGUCUACAAAUAAGGGGAAUUUUCGAGAGUUGCUACAACUUUUGGCAGAAGAAAAUGACAAGGUCAAUAAGGCUGUUCAAAGUGCUCCUAGUAACUGUAAGAUGGUGGCUCCAGAAAUUCAAAAGGAUAUUGCUAAUUGUUUUGCUGAGAUCAUAGUGAAUUCUAUCAUUGAAGAAAUUGGCGGGGAUGUGUUUUGUCUAUUAGUAGAUGAAUCAGCUGAUGUUUCAGGCAAGGAACAGAUGGCAGUGGUUGUGCGGUAUGUUGACAAGCUUGGGGUCAUAAAGGAGAGACUGAUUGGCAUUGUUCAUGUGAAAGAGACGUCAGCUUCAUGUCUGAAAUCAAACAUUGAUAAUCUGUUUGCUAAGUAUGGAUUGAGCUUAAAACAAGUGAGAGGACAAGGUUAUGAUGGAGCUAGCAACAUGAGAGGUGAGUUCAAUGGUUAAGAGCUUUAAUCUUGAGAGAGAAUAGCUCAGCGUACUACAUCGAUUGCUUUGCUCAUCAGCUGCAAUUAGUCCUUGUUGCAGUAGCUAAAAAGAAUGAUGAUGCCAGUGAUUUCUUUGACAUGAUAUCCCUAUUACUUUCUGUGGUGGGAGCUUCUUGCAAACGUAAGGAUAUGAUUCGAGAAAAGCAGCAGGAGAGAAUUAGAAAAGCUGUAGGUAGUGGAAAAAUGAGCAGUGGAACUGGAUUAAAUCAAGAACAGUCCCUUCAAAGAGCCGGAGACACACGAUGGGGUUCUCAUUAUAAAACCCUUAAGAGUCUGAGCAAUUUGUUCCCUGAAGUUAUUGAUGUGCUCCAGUAUGUUGAAAAAGAAGGCCCAAAUGAUGCGAAGAGACGUCAAGCUCAUGGUCUCAUAGACUAUCUUAAGGAUUUUGACUUUGUCUUCCACUUGCAUUUGAUGUUGCUUAUUUUAGGACAUGCAAAUCCUUUAUCAUUGUCAUUGCAAAGGAAAGAUGAAGAUAUCUUAGAGGCUAUGGUAGAAGUGAAGUUAACCAAGUAGAAAUUUCAACAAAUUAGAGAUGAUGGUUGGGAAUCUUUAUUGUAGAACGUAUACUCUUUUUGUGAAGAACAUGGAAUACCUAAGUUGGAUAUGGACGAGGACUAUAUAGAUCGACAUAAGCCAAGGAAAAAUACUAACCGCACAAAUUAUCAGCACUAUAGAUAUGACUGUCUGAACCUAGUUAUUGACUUGCAACUUGCAGAGUUCAAUGAUCGUUUUGAUGAGGUGAACUCUAAACUUCUUACCCAGAUCGCUUCUUUUAAUCCCAAGAACUCUUUUGAUGCUUACAAAUUUGAAAGUUUGAUGGAGUUGGCUCAGUCAUACCCAGAAGAUUUUGAUUCAACACAACUAAAAGAUCUUCCUCGUGAGCUUCCUAUUUACAUCGAUAACAUGAGAGCUGGUGAAAGAUUUGCCAAUUUGAAUAGUAUUUCUGAGCUUGGUAGGAUGAUGGUGCAGACAAAUAAACAUCUUUCCUUUUCUUUUAUAUCGUCUACUGAAGCUCGUACUUGUUCUUCCUAUCGCUACUGCAUCGGUGGAGAGGUGCUUUUCGGCAAUGAAAAUUGUGAAGACGGUACUGCAUAAUCGAAUCGGUGAUGAAUUUAUGAAUGAUUGUAUGGUUGCUUCGUGGAACAAGGAUUUGCAUCGUUUAUAUCUACUGUGACACCGACUCGCAUCUGUUUCACUGGGCAGCAACGGCAAAUUGCUGCAGAAAUUCCAGUGGGAUCGUGUGUUUCUAAUGGUCACCAGACAUUGGAUCAAAGAAAGCCUUUGCAGACAUUCAUUCUUCCACAAUCCAAAUCAUGGUUUCGUGAAACAACCGCAUUUCUUUCGUGGGCUCUAGCGCAGGUUGAUGCUUCUUGAACCUUGAUGAUGUUGAUGCCUAUAGCUUAACGCCUUACCUCCCUUUGAGUGACUAGGCUAUUUAGAUACUUACUUCUGUUUAGUAAGCUUGAACCCAGUAUUUUGUCUGCUCACCUAUGACAAUGUAUUGUAUGUAAACCACUUUGCCAUGACAAUGACAGUAAAA